RNAcentral lists this ribosomal RNA (253 nucleotides) under uncultured bacterium. RNAcentral describes it as "partial 16S ribosomal RNA". It matches the Rfam family "Bacterial small subunit ribosomal RNA", at positions 524 to 776 of the family's 1533-position model. The record is from RNAcentral.
UACGUAGGGUGCAAGCGUUGUCCGGAAUUAUUGGGCGUAAAGAGCUCGUAGGCGGUUUGUCGCGUCGACUGUGAAAACCCGAGGCUUAACCUCGGGCCUGCAGUCGAUACGGGCAGACUAGAGUUCGGUAGGGGAGACUGGAAUUCCUGGUGUAGCGGUGAAAUGCGCAGAUAUCAGGAAGAACACCCGUGGCUAAGGCGGUUCUCUAGUACGGUACUGACGCUGAGACGCGAAAGCGUGGGGAGCGAACAGG